RNAcentral lists this transfer RNA (86 nucleotides) under Arsenophonus endosymbiont of Bemisia tabaci Asia II 3. RNAcentral's name for it is "tRNA-Leu". It matches the Rfam family "tRNA". Rfam says of the family: Transfer RNA (tRNA) molecules are approximately 80 nucleotides in length. Their secondary structure includes four short double-helical elements and three loops (D, anti-codon, and T loops). The record is from RNAcentral. Lineage: Bacteria; Pseudomonadati; Pseudomonadota; Gammaproteobacteria; Enterobacterales; Morganellaceae.
GCGAGGGUGGCGGAAUUGGUAAACGCACUAGCUUCAGGUGUUAGUAUCUUUACGACUGUAGGGGUUUAAGUCCCCCUUUCGAACCA